This 502-nucleotide ribosomal RNA is filed under the name uncultured bacterium. RNAcentral's name for it is "partial 16S ribosomal RNA". It matches the Rfam family "Bacterial small subunit ribosomal RNA", at positions 28 to 507 of the family's 1533-position model. The record is from RNAcentral.
GACGAACGCUGGCGGCGUGCUUAACACAUGCAAGUCGAACGGUGAAGGGGUCUGCUUUUGUGGGCCCUGGAUGAGUGGCGAACGGGUGAGUAACACGUGAGUAACCUGCCCCCUUCUUCUGGAUAACCGCAUGAAAGUGUGGCUAAUACGGGAUAUUCUGGGUCUGUCGCAUGAUGGGUCUGGGAAAGAUUGCGCCUUUGGGUGUUUUUGGUGGGGGAUGGGCCCGCGGCCUAUCAGCUUGUUGGUGGGGUGAUGGCCUACCAAGGCGGUGACGGGUAGCCGGCCUGAGAGGGUGGACGGUCACACUGGGACUGAGACACGGCCCAGACUCCUACGGGAGGCAGCAGUGGGGAAUAUUGCACAAUGGGCGCAAGCCUGAUGCAGCGACGCCGCGUGAGGGAUGGAGGCCUUCGGGUUGUAAACCUCUUUCGCCAGUGAAGCAGGCCUGCUCCUUGUGGGUGGGUUGACGGUAGCUGGAUAAGAAGCGCCGGCUAACUACGUG